RNAcentral lists this ribosomal RNA (433 nucleotides) under uncultured bacterium. RNAcentral's name for it is "partial 16S ribosomal RNA". It matches the Rfam family "Bacterial small subunit ribosomal RNA", at positions 29 to 507 of the family's 1533-position model. The record is from RNAcentral.
AACGAACGCUGGCGGCAUGCCUAACACAUGCAAGUCGAACGAGACCUUCGGGUCUAGUGGCGCACGGGUGCGUAACGCGUGGGAACCUGCCCUUAGGCUCGGAAUAACUCCCCGAAAGGGGUGCUAAUACCGGAUAAUGUCUUCGGACCAAAGAUUUAUCGCCUUUGGAUGGGCCCGCGUUGGAUUAGCUAGUUGGUAGGGUAAAAGCCUACCAAGGCGACGAUCCAUAGCUGGCCUGAGAGGAUGAUCAGCCACACUGGGACUGAGACACGGCCCAGACUCCUACGGGAGGCAGCAGUGGGGAAUAUUGGACAAUGGGCGAAAGCCUGAUCCAGCAAUGCCGCGUGAGUGAUGAAGGCCUUAGGGUUGUAAAGCUCUUUUACCCGGGAUGAUAAUGACAGUACCGGGAGAAUAAGCUCCGGCUAACUCCGUG